RNAcentral lists this ribosomal RNA (1169 nucleotides) under Platynereis massiliensis. Its description in RNAcentral is "16S ribosomal RNA". The stretch from base 755 to 1104 matches the Rfam family "Bacterial large subunit ribosomal RNA", at positions 2049 to 2651 of the family's 2925-position model. Lineage: Eukaryota; Metazoa; Annelida; Polychaeta; Phyllodocida; Nereididae. The record is from RNAcentral.
AACACUUUUAUAAACCAACAUUUUUGAAAUAUAAAACAUAUUUACACCUUAAUAACUGAAAAGCGCACUUAUUAUACCUUCGCAGUUAACUUUACGUACCUUUUGCAUCAUGGUAUAACAAGAUUAUCACUAUUAGUCGAUCCCGAACGCCCUCAGAGCUGAGGUCCCACUGAUAUAGUUACCAAUAUUACAAUGUUACACUAUUGUAAUAAGAUAAGGCCUCAGCGGCUACAUACCCUCGCGGGGGCUGAUAGCUGGUUGCAUAGUUAUUUGAUUUAAGUCAAGGAAGCACUACGCUAUAAAAAUAUUAAAGGCAAAGCUUUAAUACACCCCCUAUUUACUUCUGACCAUAUUUAAUAUAAGCUUAAUACCAGCUAACUCCCGUUCCUGGGACAAACAAUAUUAACCUAAAUUAUAAUUUUUUGAAAAUACAUAUGCAAUGCCCAACUUUAUAGGGCCAUAUAUAAUGUUAUAACUAGUAUGUUAAAUUCAUUUUAAUCCUAUUAAUUAUAAAAUUAAAUAAUUUACAACUAUAUUUAAGUAAGGAACUCGGCAAAUUUUAUCCAGCCUGUUUAUCAAAAACAUCGCCUAUUGAACAUAUAAUAGGUCCAUCCUGCCCAGUGAUAAUUAUUCAACGGCCGCGGUAUCCUGACCGUGCAAAGGUAGCAUAAUAAUUUGCUUUUUAAUUGAAGGCUAGUAUGAAAGGACACACAAGGAUAAAACUGUCUCUCUUAAAUUAAGUAUAAACUGAUAAUUAGGUGAAGAAGCCUAAAUUAUAAUAAAGGACAAAAAGACCCUAUAGAGCUUUACUGGCUAGAGUAUUAUACUCAAUACCAGGUUGGUUGGGACAACCAAAAGACAUUAUCACCUCUUUUUAAAAUUCUAAAAUUCUUACCCAAUAAUGUAUAAAAAAUAGCUACCUUAGGGAUAACAGGCUAAUCCCACUAGAGAGAUCACAUUGACAGUGGGGGUUGGCACCUCGAUGUUGGCUUAGUGUAACUAUUAGGCGCAGCCGCCUAAUUUAGUUGGUUUGUUCAACCAUUAAAUCACUACAUGAGCUGAGUUCAGACCGGCGUAAGCCAGGUUAGAUUCUAUCCUUAUUUAACAGUUGAAUCAUAGUACGAAAGGACCCGGCUUCAGAGAUUAAAUCUUUAUAAAUCAAAAACAUU